UUCCGGUUGAUCCUGCCGGACCUGACUGCUAUCGGAUUGAUACUAAGCCAUGCGAGUCAUCGUAGCAAUACAAGGCAGACGGCUCAGUAACGCGUAGUCAACCUACCCUAUGGACGGGAAUAACCUCGGGAAACUGAGUAUAAUGCCCGAUAGAACACUAUACCUGGAAUGGUUUGUGUUCCAAAUGAUUUAUCGCCGUAGGAUGGGACUGCGGCCUAUCAGUUUGUUGGUGAGGUAAUGGCCCACCAAGACUAUUACAGGUACGGGCUCUGAGAGGAGUGGCCCGGAGAUGGGUACUGAGACACGGACCCAGGCCCUAUGGGGCGCAGCAGGCGAGAAAACUUUGCAAUGUGCGAAAGCACGACAAGGUUAAUCCGAGUGGUUUCUGCUAAAGGAACCUUUUGACAGUCCUAGAAACACUGUUGAAUAAGGGGUGGGCAAGUUCUGGUGUCAGCCGCCGCGGUAAAACCAGCACCUCAAGUGGUCAGGAUGAUUAUUGGGCCUAAAGCAUCCGUAGCCGGCUCAGUAAGUUUUCGGUUAAAUCUGUACGCUCAACGUACAGGCUGCCGGGAAUACUGCAGAGCUAGGGAGUGGGAGAGGUAGACGAUACUCGGGAGGAAGUGGUAAAAUGCUUUGAUCUUUCGAUGACCACCUGUGGCGAAGGCGGUCUACCAGAACACGUCCGACGGUGAGGGAUGAAAGCUGGGGGAGCAAACCGGAUUAGAUACCCGGGUAGUCCCAGCUGUAAACUAUGCAAACUCAGUGAUGCAUUGGCUUGUGGCCAAUGCAGUGUUGCAGGGAAGCCGUUAAGUUUGCCGCCUGGGAAGUACGUACGCAAGUAUGAAACUUAAAGGAAUUGGCGGGGGAGCACCACAAGGGGUGAAGCCUGCGGUUCAAUUGGAUUCAACGCCGGG
Molecule: ribosomal RNA, 914 nt
Filed under: uncultured archaeon
Lineage: Archaea
Description: bacterial SSU rRNA
Rfam family: Archaeal small subunit ribosomal RNA
Source: RNAcentral